CCCUUAGAUGUUCUGGGCCGCACGCGCGCUACACUGACGAAUGCAACGAGCUUAUAACCUUGGCCGAAAGGUCUGGGUAAUCUCCAAAUUUCGUCGUGAUGGGGAUAGAUUAUUGCAAUUAUUAAUCUUCAACGAGGAAUGCCUAGUAAGCGCAAGUCAUCAGCUUGCGUUGAUUACGUCCCUGCCCUUUGUACACACCGCCCGUCGCACCUACCGAUUGAAUGGUCCGGUGAAGCCUCGGGAUUGUGGCCAGUUCACUUUAUUGGGAGUUGGCUGUGAGAACUUGUCUAAACCUUAUCAUUUAGAGGAAGGUGAAGUCGUAACA
This 325-nucleotide ribosomal RNA is filed under the name uncultured eukaryote. RNAcentral describes it as "partial 18S ribosomal RNA". It matches the Rfam family "Eukaryotic small subunit ribosomal RNA", at positions 1470 to 1796 of the family's 1831-position model. The record is from RNAcentral.